GUUAGAAGCUUCGACUAAGGUUCGACUCGAGCGAAGCGAGAGAACGUUGCCGCAGGCAACGGCCCGAAGGGCGAGGCGCUUUAGCGCCGAGUAAUCCUUCCCCCACCACCA
This 111-nucleotide small RNA is filed under the name Klebsiella pneumoniae subsp. pneumoniae. Its description in RNAcentral is "partial RtT sRNA". It matches the Rfam family "RtT RNA", at positions 21 to 130 of the family's 130-position model. Rfam says of the family: This family represents a bacterial cis-regulatory element known as RtT RNA. The exact function of RtT is unknown although it is thought that it may be involved in changing the cellular response in relation to amino acid starvation. Lineage: Bacteria; Pseudomonadati; Pseudomonadota; Gammaproteobacteria; Enterobacterales; Enterobacteriaceae. The record is from RNAcentral.